RNAcentral lists this long non-coding RNA (1051 nucleotides) under Nicotiana tabacum (common tobacco). RNAcentral's name for it is "long non-coding RNA (NTAB_LNC008250)". Lineage: Eukaryota; Viridiplantae; Streptophyta; Magnoliopsida; Solanales; Solanaceae. The record is from RNAcentral.
UAGACAAAUCAGUGGUAGGCUUAUAACCAAAAUCCCUUAACGCAAGGCUCACGUUAGCAUGAGUAAACGGAACGUCACCGUUUCGUGGCAUUUUGACCACAUUCUUUUUAGCCUUAACACUCAACAAAUUUUCAAGAAUAGACACUAAUUUCCUCACCGACACAGGCGAAGUAUUACCCAAAUUAUAAACCCUCAACUGCGCCGGACCUUUUUUCUUUCCGCCGCUGCCGGUGCUCUUCUCCGCCGUAUCCAGCGCUCCAACACACCCUUUUACUAUAUCAUCAAUGUACGUGAAAUCACGCGCCACCUCCUUAUCAUCUUGUGUUACGUAAACAUUAAUUGAUUUACCUUGUAUCAUAUCCUUAGUAAAGAAAAAAUAAGCCAUAUCGGGUCUACCCCAUGGACCAUAAACAGUAAAAAAUCUUAACCCGGUUAAAGAAAGACCGUAAAUAUGGUUAUAUGUAUGUGCAAUUUCUUCACCUGCUUUUUUUGUUGCUGCAUAUAAACUUGCGGGUUGAUCCGUUUUGUGCUCUUCUGAAAAUGGUACUUUGGUAUUUAACCCGUAAACCGAACUGGACGAUGCCCAAACGAUUGCGGGUUGAGGGUUAGCUGACUUGGCGACUUCUAAUAAGUUAACAAAUCCAGCUAUAUUUGAUUUGACAUAAGAGAGAGGAUUUUGCAUUGCGUAGCGAACGCCAGCUUGUGCAGCUAAAUGAAGGAUAUGAGUAAAGGGAACAAUGUCGAAGAGUUUAUUGAGAAGUUCGACGUCGUUUAUGUCACCUUCGACGAUAAAUAUUUGGUGUUUUGAUAGGAGAUUUUGGCGAGCACGUUUUAAAGAAGGAUCGUAGUAGGAAUUGAAGUUGUCAAGGCCAAGAACACCGUCGCCACGUUUCUUUAAUGCUAAGGAAGAGUGGGACCCAACGAAGCCAGCAGCGCCGGUGACGAGGACGGAGAAGCCGUUGGGGCGGCUAGGAGUGGCGGAGCGACGGACUUGUUUCUCCCACGACGCUCCGCCUCCGUAGAAGGCGGAGGAGAGGAGGUUGUGGGUGGU